Molecule: ribosomal RNA, 467 nt
Filed under: uncultured bacterium
Lineage: Bacteria
Description: partial 16S ribosomal RNA
Rfam family: Bacterial small subunit ribosomal RNA
Source: RNAcentral
ACGAACGCUGGCGGCGUGCUUAACACAUGCAAGUCGAACGGAAAGGCCCUGCUUUUGUGGGGUGCUCGCGUGGCGAACGGGUGAGUAACACGUGAGUAACCUGCCCUUGACUUUGGGAUAACUUCAGGAAACUGGGGCUAAUACCGGAUAGGAGCUCCUGCUGCAUGGUGGGGGUUGGAAAGUUUCGGCGGUUGGGGAUGGACUCGCGGCUUAUCAGCUUGUUGGUGGGGUAGUGGCUUACCAAGGCUUUGACGGGUAGCCGGCCUGAGAGGGUGACCGGCCACAUUGGGACUGAGAUACGGCCCAGACUCCUACGGGAGGCAGCAGUGGGGAAUAUUGCACAAUGGGCGGAAGCCUGAUGCAGCAACGCCGCGUGCGGGAUGACGGCCUUCGGGUUGUAAACCGCUUUCGCCUGUGACGAAGCGUGAGUGACGGUAAUGGGUAAAGAGGCACCGGCUAACUACGUG